This 305-nucleotide ribosomal RNA is filed under the name uncultured bacterium. Its description in RNAcentral is "bacterial SSU rRNA". It matches the Rfam family "Bacterial small subunit ribosomal RNA", at positions 334 to 637 of the family's 1533-position model. The record is from RNAcentral.
AUUUCCUACGGGACGCAGCAGUGAGGAAUAUUGGUCAAUGGCCGCAGGGCUGAACCAGCCAAGUCGCGUGAGGGAUGACGGUCCUAUGGACUGUAAACCUCUUUUGUCAGGGAGCAAAGGGCGCCACGUGUGGCGCUUUGCGAGUACCUGAAGAAAAAGCAUCGGCUAACUCCGUGCCAGCAGCCGCGGUAAUACGGAGGAUGCGAGCGUUAUCCGGAUUUAUUGGGGUUAAAGGGUGCGCAGGCGGAAUGUCAAGUCAGCGGUAAAAUUUCGGGGCUCAACCCCGUCGUGCCGUGGAAACUGGG